This is a long non-coding RNA of Monomorium pharaonis (pharaoh ant), 455 nucleotides long. RefSeq lists it as uncharacterized. The transcript is spliced from 3 exons. NCBI's taxonomy places the organism in Eukaryota, Metazoa, Arthropoda, Insecta, Hymenoptera, Formicidae. The record is from RefSeq and is a predicted model, not a curated record.
GUGAUGACGUAUUUUUGCAGCGUAUUCCGAUUCGUGGACCACAACGUGUUACUUAUCGAUCUGUCAUCUUACGAGGGUCGGCGAAUCGCACGGUAUCUCGGACUAACGAGUAACUACCCUCGUUAACUCCCGGGCGAAAGGUACGCUUAAUUAAAACUGAUUACUCGAUCCGAGCUCCCGCAGGAACUUCACCUUCGUUUUUGGUCCUUUUUGCGUCGCCGGGUGCGUAACCGAAUGACCCGAAUGCUUCACGUCGCGAUGGAAAGGUAUCGCAACAAAUUUUCCGUGGUAACAUAAUUACACGAGGGCUAUCCAAAAAAUAACUCCCGCUUUCGCAUAGUGAAUGAGGUGAACAUCUGAAUUUCAAUAAAUACGGCGAGUAACACAAGAUUGAAAAACAAGAAGAAAUCCAGAUAUAAUUCAUAUAAGAUAAAUAAUUAUUGUAUUAUUUAGAG